This 483-nucleotide unclassified non-coding RNA is filed under the name Zea mays. Its description in RNAcentral is "misc RNA Zm00001eb115020". The record is from RNAcentral. Lineage: Eukaryota; Viridiplantae; Streptophyta; Magnoliopsida; Poales; Poaceae.
UCACAGGGCAGGCACAUAAGCAUCUCUUCCUCUCCUUUUGGCUUCCCUCCUCUUGGGUUUGCACUGCCCCUGCUCUUGACUUGGAUGUGCACUGCCUCUACUCGACUUGGAUAUGCUCUGCAGUUCGCAUCUCCUCUGCAGCUCUGUUUCCCUCCUCUUCUGCUGUUUCUUUCCCUGUCUUUCCUCUGCUUGUGCUUUGUUAUAUUGAUGCUGACCGGAAGUGCUCGAGUUCUUUGUUUUUACAGCUGAUAGCACAAUGGUAUAUUAUACUCCACUCGGAAUUCCAAUAUGUUGGUGCAGUGGUUAGACGGGGGUUCCCAGGUCAAAAUCUGGUUGGUAGUAUUGCAAAUUCUGCUUUCUGUUAGGACGUUGGAAUGUCUACAUCUAUUUGGAAGUUGUGCUGCUAGGUAACUGCAGAUGCAGACUUGGAUGGGAUUUUAGGUUGAACUUGGAUGAUUCAGGUUAUGCCAAGAAACAUGUUAA